This 618-nucleotide long non-coding RNA is filed under the name Panax ginseng (ginseng). RNAcentral describes it as "long non-coding RNA (PGIN_LNC003803)". The record is from RNAcentral. Lineage: Eukaryota; Viridiplantae; Streptophyta; Magnoliopsida; Apiales; Araliaceae.
AACCGAAUCCCGUUUAUAUACAUUACACAUGCUUAUUUGUAGGUCUCACAUGUCAUAUGGGGGUUUACAGUAUGCAUGUGUGUAUACGAGUAUUAUAUGAGUCCUUUUUAUGUUAUAGUAACAUUGGUAAAGAAUUGAAUACAAUUACCAUAGAAUAGUAAGUAUAUUAAACUGAACUUAGGGUUUCUUUCUUUCUUGUCAAUGGCGGCUAAUAGCGUUUUUCCACAUCCAAAUCCACAUCGUAGGCGGCUGCUGCUGCCUUCGUCACCAUCGUGGUCGGAGAUCCCAGAAGAAUUAUUGUGGCUGAUCUUCGAACGUAUCUCAGACUGGUCCGAUCUUUAUCCAUGUCUUGCCGUGUGUCCGUUGUGGCGCUCCCCACCGCCCGACCGGUGUUGAGCAGGAUAAUAGUAAGUGUUUUUCUAUUGCUUAUAAAUCCGGAGCAAAAACAAGAACCCUGCAAAUUCUUGGAUUCGAGUGCAACAACAUUUUGCAUAAAGGCCCGUAUGGAACUGGCCAAUUAUACUGUAAUACCCGGAAAAAAAAUUUAUAUUCUUAAAACUUAUUGUUUGGACUUUUUCUUUUAUUUGAGUCAAACUUGUUAUUUAAUUUAUUUGGGCU